RNAcentral lists this ribosomal RNA (497 nucleotides) under uncultured bacterium. RNAcentral describes it as "partial 16S ribosomal RNA". It matches the Rfam family "Bacterial small subunit ribosomal RNA", at positions 28 to 507 of the family's 1533-position model. The record is from RNAcentral.
GAUGAACGCUGGCGGCGUGCCUAAUACAUGCAAGUCGAGCGAACAGAUGAGGAGCUUGCUCCUCUGACGUUAGCGGCGGACGGGUGAGUAACACGUGGAUAACCUACCUAUAAGACUGGGAUAACUUCGGGAAACCGGAGCUAAUACCGGAUAAUAUAUUGAACCGCAUGGUUCAAUAGUAAAAGACGGUUUUGCUGUCACUUAUAGAUGGAUCCGCGCCGCAUUAGCUAGUUGGUAAGGUAACGGCUUACCAAGGCAACGAUGCGUAGCCGACCUGAGAGGGUGAUCGGACACACUGGAACUGAGACACGGUCCAGACUCCUACGGGAGGCAGCAGUAGGGAAUCUUCCGCAAUGGGCGAAAGCCUGACGGAGCAACGCCGCGUGAGUGAUGAAGGUCUUCGGAUCGUAAAACUCUGUUAUUAGGGAAGAACAAAUGUGUAAGUAACUAUGCACGUCUUGACGGUACCUAAUCAGAAAGCCACGGCUAACUACGUG